CCUACGGGUGGCGGCAGUGAGGAAUAUUGGUCAAUGGGCGAGAGUCUGAACCAGCCAAGUAGCGUGAAGGAUGACUGCCCUAUGGGUUGUAAACUUCUUUUAUAUAGGAAUAAAGUGAGGCACGUGUGCCUUUUUGUAUGUACUUUAUGAAUAAGGAUCGGCUAACUCCGUGCCAGCAGCCGCGGUAAUACGGAGGAUCCGAGCGUUAUCCGGAUUUAUUGGGUUUAAAGGGAGCGUGGAUGGGUUGUUAAGUCAGUUGUGAAAGUUUGCGGCUCAACCGUAAAAUUGCAAUUGAUACUGGCAGUCUUGAGUACAGUUGAGGUAGGCGGAAUUCGUGGUGUAGCGGUGAAAUGCUUAGAUAUCACGAAGAACCCCGAUUGCGAAGGCAGCUUACUAAACUGUGACUGACAUUGAUGCUCGAAAGUGUGGGUAUCAAACAGGAUUAGAUACCCCUGUAGUC
RNAcentral lists this ribosomal RNA (460 nucleotides) under uncultured bacterium. Its description in RNAcentral is "partial 16S ribosomal RNA". It matches the Rfam family "Bacterial small subunit ribosomal RNA", at positions 338 to 795 of the family's 1533-position model. The record is from RNAcentral.